RNAcentral lists this ribosomal RNA (468 nucleotides) under uncultured bacterium. RNAcentral describes it as "partial 16S ribosomal RNA". It matches the Rfam family "Bacterial small subunit ribosomal RNA", at positions 28 to 507 of the family's 1533-position model. The record is from RNAcentral.
GACGAACGCUGGCGGCGUGCUUAACACAUGCAAGUCGAACGGAAAGGCCCUGCUUUUGUGGGGUGCUCGAGUGGCGAACGGGUGAGUAACACGUGAGUAACCUGCCCUUGACUUUGGGAUAACUUCAGGAAACUGGGGCUAAUACCGGAUAGGAGCUCCUGCUGCAUGGUGGGGGUUGGAAAGUUUCGGCGGUUGGGGAUGGACUCGCGGCUUAUCAGCUUGUUGGUGGGGUAGUGGCUUACCAAGGCUUUGACGGGUAGCCGGCCUGAGAGGGUGACCGGACACAUUGGGACUGAGAUACGGCCCAGACUCCUACGGGAGGCAGCAGUGGGGAAUAUUGCACAAUGGGCGGAAGCCUGAUGCAGCAACGCCGCGUGCGGGAUGACGGCCUUCGGGUUGUAAACCGCUUUCGACUGUGACGAAGCGUGAGUGACGGUAAUGGGUAAAGAAGCACCGGCUAACUACGUG